GGGGGUUAGAGGAGGGCCCAGGGUGCACACUACCCUUUUUGUGGAAAAAAAUGUGUGGGGUUAGGGUUGUUUCAGAUUAAAAGCUGACUUUUGUUUGCUUAAAACAAUCUACAGAAAAGUGGAAAACACCCUGUGGAGCCACCAACGGGUUUUGAAAUGAGUAUCACUAAUAGACUGGAGUAUGGGCUGGAAUUUUUCAUUGACUUUGGAAAAUUAUAAGGAUAUUUAGUGGUAUAUUAUUAGUCAUUAUAAAAUUUAUCAAUUUUCUCCUUUAAAAAUGAGACUUUUUAACGAAUUUGUUCUAACAUGAGCAACACGACAGGUGAUUCAUGUUGAGCAGGAUCUCCUUACCCCUUCUGGAGAACCAGAGAUGACCUCAAGUUUCAGGUUCCUGAGUUUCUCUGUGAGUCUUUAAUUUUCUAUGUUGUGUUUUGUGUAUAUUGUUGUUGUUUUGUUGGUCCCUUUCUUUUUUAAGCCAUGGCUUGGCCAGUUUGUUAUCGAUUAUGAGUUUGAAAGUGAUCGAUUUUAAUAUCUUUCGUCCUCUUUUACUCAUUAAAUUACUUGUGAAUAUUAUUUUGUUUAUAGUAUGGCAUGUCCUAUAAGUAGAUCUUAUUUCUAAUUGCACCUGUGCUUUAAAGCAGGGCCAUUUUGUAUAUUUAUCAUUUAUGGUUUUAGCAUAUAUGACAGGCUGUUGAUUUUCCCCUAAGAUUAAUGAAACACAUAGUUUUGUUACAUUUUAGCUUUUUAUAUCUUAUACUUUACUAUAUACGUUUUGCUUAUUGUUGAAGGUUACUUCCUGAUCAUUUGUUCUCUGGUGAAUAGUUAUAUGUCUUGGAAUGUCCUUUAGCUAACAAUAUUUGACAAUUAGAUCUUAUUUCAUAAUUGCACCUGUACUUUUAAGCGGAGCCAUUUUGUAUAUUUAUCUUUUAUGGUUUUAGCAUAUAUGACGAGGCUGUUGAUUUUCCCUUAAGAAAUGAUACACAUAGUUUGUUACAUUUUGGCCUUUUAUAUAUCUUACUUUACUAUACACAUUUUGCUUAUUGUUGAAGGUUACUUCUUGAUCAUUUGGUCUCUGGUGAAUAGUUUAUAUACACAAAGAUAUGUCUUGGAUGUCCUUUAAACUAUUAGUAUUUGUCAAUCAUAAGGAUUCCAAUAAGUCUACAAGGAAAAUUAACAAUGGAUUGACUACAAAAUCGUACGGAUGGCAUUUAAAAUUUCAAUGACAAAGAUAUACCCAGGAGAAUCGGUCAAGAGAAACA
RNAcentral lists this long non-coding RNA (1259 nucleotides) under Mytilus galloprovincialis (Mediterranean mussel). The record is from RNAcentral. Lineage: Eukaryota; Metazoa; Mollusca; Bivalvia; Mytilida; Mytilidae.